ACGAAAGCCGGCGGAAAUCUCCAGAGCAUCGGUCAAGCAAAUUUCCUACUUGUGAGAAGCAAGCAAUGAUAACUACGUUCCUUUUCGCGUUGGCCUGUAUUUCUGCAGCAUCGGCCCAAAAUGUCAGUAGCUCAACUGAAGGACCAGUCACCAGUAGCACUGGGCCCACUCCUGGAAUAGAUCGCACCGUGAACUAUGGUAAGUCAGUUAAAAUUAUUUGUUUCUUACUAACCUACAUGUCAGCACCAUCGUUUGAACACAAGCAAUGACGGCAUAUUAUGUUUACUGCAUUUUAAGGAAAGCGCAGGCAUUCAUCUACGAAGCCCAUUAUACAGUGAAUGCUUACCUUUGAAACCAUGCGCGAUAAAUGUCUCGUUCAUUUUUGAAAUAAUGGAGACAUAAGCACGUACGGCAAAAUGCCGCUCCAGUUUUAUGAAUAACAAGCGUUAGACUUAGAAAACAAAUCUAAAAAAAAAGAAACUUAGGAUUUUCCUAUCGUAGUUACGCCACCACGAAGCGUGGCGUAACUACCACAUACUGUGGUACGCCUGAACAAGCGGAACUACGCUCUCUCUAUGCUGAUGCAACUUUAUCGUCUCCAUCGCUUGCAAGCGUUCAUUUCAACAAUUCUAACACAUCAAUCAAAUGACAGAAAUUCUCGUGCGCACACAAGAAAUCGCGUGAGUUGCCAGUCGAGCAAUUAAGUUGUGCCAUAUGCAAGUAGAUAGAGUCACUUGUCAUACCUAGCAGGGUCACGAGUGCCAUCAUCCUGUCAGUUUACUCUUGUUCCGUUCUGCGGUUCCGGCCCUUUUAAUAACCUUAUAGUUAAGUCGCGCUGAUGCUUACCAGGCGGCUUGAGGAAAAUGAAAAGUUGGCGUAUGACGACAGCGCAACAACAACAAAACAAACUGUUGUACAUAACGAAAGCACACCGGGAAUGUACGUGAAGCGACAUUCCACCAAGGAGUGCCAAGUAACUUUUACCGGACCACCACUGAUGCGCAUAAUUGUGCUUCAUAUUAGUAUAUCCUCCGUGAAAGCUCGCGUCACGUUUACGUUCAUUCAAGACAAGUGCUGCAACUGCAUUCUCGUGCACAUUUCGCAUUUAUGCACCACACCGCUGUCAGGCUAUGCUCAAGGGCCAACUUCGGAUCACCCUGGUUCACACCGUGAGAUGCGUAUGCAGUGACAUUACGAGGACAAAGGCAAUGUAUGAUGCUGUUGAGGGAAGAAUGGUGAUGGCAGGUGUAUGCGCAGCAAAGUACGGCACGUAUCAAGCAAGAAUAAGUGAUUCUGAAUCUUCUAUAUCCCAGUGGCACAGAUGGAUGACUGGCCAAAAGUUGACACAAACUCGGGCUACACAUUGAAUCUUAUGUUAAAAUAAAACACAAUAAUGCAUCCGUAUAUUAUUAUGCACUAUUC
RNAcentral lists this long non-coding RNA (1422 nucleotides) under Dermacentor andersoni. RNAcentral describes it as "uncharacterized LOC126539649". Lineage: Eukaryota; Metazoa; Arthropoda; Arachnida; Ixodida; Ixodidae. The record is from RNAcentral.